AGCAGGCAGAGAGAGAGAGAGGAGGAUGCAGGCUCCCUGCUGAGCAGAGAGCCCGAGCCUCAAGUUUUCUUAACUGCAGAAGGAAAAACAGCAAAGGGUUCUCUUCCUGUUGGGAUUAUGCCACAUACCGGUUUUCAGUAUUUGCUUAAGAUGUGGCUGCUGAUGAGUCAGAGGAGAGGAAAGAGACUCCAAAAUGUGAGGUGAUCCUGAUGCACAAUAAAACCAGAGAAUCACUACUCCAGCCCAAGUCUUCCAGUAGAGCCAGAGCCAUCAAAAAAAAAAAAA
Mustela erminea (ermine) is the source of this 285-nucleotide long non-coding RNA. RefSeq lists it as uncharacterized. NCBI's taxonomy places the organism in Eukaryota, Metazoa, Chordata, Mammalia, Carnivora, Mustelidae. The transcript is spliced from 3 exons. The record is from RefSeq and is a predicted model, not a curated record.